RNAcentral lists this long non-coding RNA (1457 nucleotides) under Anas platyrhynchos (mallard). Its description in RNAcentral is "lncRNA (ENSAPLG00020007505.1)". The record is from RNAcentral. Lineage: Eukaryota; Metazoa; Chordata; Aves; Anseriformes; Anatidae.
GCGCGGCGGGGGCGGGGAUGCGCUGCCGGUGCCGCUCAGCCCCGGGCAGGAGCCCUGGCACCCUUCGGCCACCGGCGCGGCCUGCUCGGGGUGCCCAGAGCCAAGAGAAACCCAGCGAUCAGGGGGAGAAACCCCUCGGGAGAGUUCCCGAGCUCUGUCGCGACUCAACGGGCCACAGCAGCUCUUCUGUCGCGGUUGCCGAAACUGAGCAGCCCCCAACCCCGCAGCGCUGCCGUCGGUUCUGAGCUGCCCCUCACACGCGGCCGAAAUGUUGCCCCGUGUCCCGACAGCCCCGCUGCCGUGCAGCGCCCUAUAUCGCGAUAGCCCUAUUAGCCCCUCCGCCAGGCCGCACCUCGCUCCGUGCCCGCGGGAGCCGGCGGUGCCGGGGAGGGCAAAAGGUGCCCUGGGACAGCGCCCUGAGCCGCCGGGGCUUCACGGGGCAGGAUUUCAGGAUUUUUUAAAUCGGGGUUUUCUUGAAAGUGAAUUUAAACCCGAACUCACUCCCACCGUCACGUGAUGCCGAAAUUGGGAACAGGAGCAGAAUAAAAAGUAAACUGGGGUCAACCUCUUAAUGAACCUUUUUCCCAUUCCUACAGAAAAGGAAAAAAAAAAAAAAAAAAAGAAAAAGAAAGAAAGAAAAAAAAAACAGGCCCGGGCAGGCCGGGGGAUGCGGGCGAGGCAGCCGCACGCUGCUCCCGGAGGAGCCGUGCAGGGCCGGGCCGGAGCCAUCGCAGAUAAACGGCCGGAUCCCCGACGGCAGGGUGGCUCCGAUUCGUGGCUCAUCACCGCCGAGUCAAAGGAGCAGGCGAGGGGGAGGAUAAGCCCUGCUUUCAGGGCCCGGCGCUCCAACCCACUCAUCACUGUCACCGGGCUUGCUCAUGCCUUGGCCCUGAACACCGGCGAUUAAUAAAAGCUCCCUGUCGCUUUUCUCCACUAAUUACACUCGCGCGCAGGCUGCGGGCCGGGAAAAGGAAAGGCUGCGGGCUGCGCUACCUGCCGCCCGGCCCCCGCGGCUCCCUCGCUCUUGCUUCUUUCCCCCCCCCCCCCCGCAUAAAAAAAAAUAAAUUAAUCCUACGCACGAGGAGACGAGGGCAGAAGCAAGCCCCGAGCUCCGCGGCCGCAGCCGGCCCCGACGGCGGGGGGACACCGCGGCCCGGCCCCACUUCCCGGCGAAGGCAGGACCGAGCCUCGGCCGCGUAGGUUGGCACAGAUUUCUUGGCUGGAGCGGAAACUCACCGGUUCACACCGCUGCUGAGGGUUUGAGUGGCUGAGGACUGAGAGAAACUUGCCGAAUUUGGCCCGUAAAACCGCCGAAGGCACGGAGUGUAACCCUGAAUUGUGCGCGUACGCGGGAGGAACUACAGAGCAUCAGAGUCGGGCUUCUAAACAGGGACAGUGCCAAAUUUCUAAUAACUGUGUAAUAUGCUUAUUUAUACCAUACAAGGACUUACAAACCU